Molecule: long non-coding RNA, 835 nt
Organism: Musa acuminata AAA Group (dessert banana)
Lineage: Eukaryota; Viridiplantae; Streptophyta; Magnoliopsida; Zingiberales; Musaceae
Exons: 2
Source: RefSeq, a predicted model, not a curated record
CUUCAAGAUUUACCGCAUCCAAAUGUUAGAUCUUCCUUCGCUUCUGCUGGGACAUUAGAUCGUCGGCCAUGUUUAGAACGCCAUUGCAGGCGAACCUGCUGAUGAUGAGGAUUCUGGAAGCUGGAGGCAGUGGGGUCUCCCUCAUGCCUCUUCGGGCCAGUAAUUGCAGGGACAGUGACAGCACACCGUUGGAAGGGGAUGAUAUGAUCAGUAGGACGCCCUGUCGCAUCCGAGACACCGGUCAGCCGACGCGAUCCUUCCCCUCGGUUGGGACAGCGCGCCCCAUGGAUGGAGAUCAGGACGAAGGGAAGAGAGGAAGGAUGCCUUCGUCUGCAACGCGAAAGCCUGACUUCGUUUUCAUCUUUCGAACCACGACGACAUCACCCAACUUCUGAUGACGACUGAGAUUUCAAGCUCUAUACGUAGCGGCUCAGUGGAUUAGCAGAUGUGCUCUUCCAAGGGAAGUAAUUUUACUGAUCAUUUCUUCGUUAUGGUGCAGCAGAUUGCAGGAAGAAUACGAGCUGCAAGAGUGUGGUUCACCACCUCAUCCAUGGAGCAGAACACCAGAAGCUAUCGUAGCUGUUGCACACUUACUGAUGAGGAUUUCAAGCUAUAGUCGCUGGUGAUAACGAAUCGAUCAAAGUGUCCUUCAGAACAUAUGUAGCUCGCUUUCUCCCUUUCAAGUUGAUGUCCGUAUGAUGUACUUCGAGAUAAUUGCCGAAAUCCAACACCUAAAGGAAGCCAUUGUCGAUCCAUCAAAUCCUUCGUUCACUUGGGCUAGAAUAUGAAAUCUUCAUUGCUCGUCCAGAAUCAAUUAAAUUCUUCGUUUAUCGUC